RNAcentral lists this signal recognition particle RNA (308 nucleotides) under Octodon degus (degu). Its description in RNAcentral is "Metazoan signal recognition particle RNA (ENSODEG00000025815.1)". It matches the Rfam family "Metazoan signal recognition particle RNA". Rfam says of the family: The signal recognition particle (SRP) is a universally conserved ribonucleoprotein. It is involved in the co-translational targeting of proteins to membranes. Lineage: Eukaryota; Metazoa; Chordata; Mammalia; Rodentia; Octodontidae. The record is from Rfam by way of RNAcentral.
GCCAGGCAUAGCGGCAUGUGCCUACUGUCCUAGCUACUCGGUAGGCUGAAGUGGAAAAACUGCUAGAGUCCUGGAGUUCUGGGCUGCAGUGCAAGAUGCCUAUCAGGUGUUCACACUAAGUUUGGCAUCAAUCCGGUGACCUCCCAGGAGUUGGAGACCACCAGAUUGCCUAAGGAAGGGUGAACCUGCCCAGGUCAGAAACACAGUAGGUCAAAACUCUCAUGCUGAUCAGUUGCCUUUUUUUUGAUUGGGUGUCUUUUGGAAGAAGUCUAAUUUCCUGAGUUUUUUAUUCAGUGUGUUCGCUCUCU